GUUAAAUCGUCCUCUAGUUCUGUAUUCGAUGAUUCAGACAACUUUCCUUUUUCAUUCUUUCUCAUUCUACUUCCUUAACUUCCCGACAGCUUAGAAGCUCACCCAUGGGCGAGUGAGCCGCAUGUGAAACUGCUUUCCUGUUGGAAGAGUGCUCCACUACACCGGUGACAUCAUCCUGUGUGUGUUCCUGCUCUGAGGACUUAAAGGAGGUUGAACUUGAUUUCCCCUUCCUUGAGUGUGGAUUGCACUUAGUGACUCACUCCAAAGAAAAGACAGUGCAGAAGGAAAUCAACAGUGGCACAGUUUGGAACCAUCUUAACCAGGUGAUGAAAGUUUACUCACUAGUGAUAAGUCACGCCAAUAUUAG
RNAcentral lists this long non-coding RNA (367 nucleotides) under Callithrix jacchus (white-tufted-ear marmoset). RNAcentral's name for it is "lncRNA (ENSCJAG00000068486.2)". Lineage: Eukaryota; Metazoa; Chordata; Mammalia; Primates; Cebidae. The record is from RNAcentral.